CCUACGGGGGGCAGCAGUGAGGAAUAUUGGUCAAUGGGCGGAAGCCUAAACCAGCCAAGUAGCGUGCAGGAUGACGGCCCUACGGGUUGUAAACUGCUUUUAUACGGGAAUAACGCGCCUUACGUGUAGGGCUUUGCAUGUACCGUAUGAAUAAGGACCGGCUAAUUCCGUGCCAGCAGCCGCGGUAAUACGGAAGGUCCGGGCGUUAUCCGGAUUUAUUGGGGUUAAAGGGUGCGUAGGGCGCAUGGUAAGCGAGCUGUGAAAUGUCCGGGCUCAACCCGGGCCUUGCAGCGCAAACUGGCGUGCUUGAGUGCGCGAGAAGCAGGCGGAAUUCGUCGUGUAGCGGUGAAAUGCUUAGAUAUGACGAAGAACCCCGAUUGCGAAGGCAGCUUGCU
RNAcentral lists this ribosomal RNA (395 nucleotides) under uncultured bacterium. Its description in RNAcentral is "partial 16S ribosomal RNA". It matches the Rfam family "Bacterial small subunit ribosomal RNA", at positions 338 to 730 of the family's 1533-position model. The record is from RNAcentral.